RNAcentral lists this long non-coding RNA (816 nucleotides) under Anas platyrhynchos platyrhynchos (common mallard). Its description in RNAcentral is "lncRNA (ENSAPLG00000019513.1)". Lineage: Eukaryota; Metazoa; Chordata; Aves; Anseriformes; Anatidae. The record is from RNAcentral.
GCACAACAAGACUAAUUUUGUCUGUCUAUAAAAUGUUUUCAUGGUAUACAAUUUCCUUGAUAUUUUGACAGACCAGACUUAUGUAUAUAUAAAUAUUUGUGGUUGCUAAGCUACCAAAUAUAUUUAUUUUAGACCUUGUAUAAUGUUAUUUUGAGGCAGAAUAUAUUGCUUUUUUAGACCUCAUAGUGAGAGAGGUUUACAGAUUAAUGUAUGCUUUUCUGUUGUUUCCAGUGCAAGUCUUUCUUGAAGUGCACAGAGUAUCUGCAGCUGCUCUUUUAUUGAAAGUUCUGACAAGAAGAGAUUCCACUCACUGAGAUUUCCAAGAUUUCCACUGCAAGGAUUUCAUCACUUAAACAAGGUUUUCCUCUGGGAUUAGAACACUCUUCACAUUCUUUUUCUGAUGCCUUGUAAUCUCAGAGAUCUUCCCAUUUUGUAUUUUCAUCUGAGUAUCUGGUUCCACUCUUCAGUUAGCAAAGGCCAGUCGAACAGAGUGCAGAUGGGCAGCAGUCAUGAAUCAUAGGAGCCCUGUAGUUUCUAUGAACUCAGAUGUUUUCAGGAUAUCAGCUGUGAAAAUCAUGCAUUCACAAGAAUUGAAGCUGUCUGGCAAUCCCUGGAGGUAAGCAAGGCUACAUUUUCAAGCAUGAGUAUGAACAGUGAUGAAAAAUGUGGGCAUUUGUGUACCAAGCAAAUGCAACUGCUGAAAAAUUUAUCCCAUCUCCAGGUUGGCUCUCAUAACAAUGUAGUAUGAAAAUAUCACUGGAAGUAUUCAUAAUGAAUAUUAAUAAAAAAAUAAAUCAAACUCCUGAAGAUUUAGAA